GCAGUGAUGGCCGAGUGGUUAAGGCGUUUGACGAGAAAUCAGAUGGGAUCUUCCCGCGUAGGUUCGAAUCCUACUAACUGCG
This 82-nucleotide transfer RNA is filed under the name Penaeus monodon (black tiger shrimp). RNAcentral describes it as "tRNA-Ser". It matches the Rfam family "tRNA". Rfam says of the family: Transfer RNA (tRNA) molecules are approximately 80 nucleotides in length. Their secondary structure includes four short double-helical elements and three loops (D, anti-codon, and T loops). The record is from RNAcentral. Lineage: Eukaryota; Metazoa; Arthropoda; Malacostraca; Decapoda; Penaeidae.